RNAcentral lists this ribosomal RNA (288 nucleotides) under uncultured bacterium. Its description in RNAcentral is "partial 16S ribosomal RNA". It matches the Rfam family "Bacterial small subunit ribosomal RNA", at positions 775 to 1067 of the family's 1533-position model. The record is from RNAcentral.
GGAUUAGAUACCCUGGUAGUCCACACUGUAAACGAUGGAUACUCGGUGUACGGCCUUCGGGUUGUGUGCCUAAGGGAAACCGAUAAGUAUCCCACCUGGGGAGUACGUUCGCAAGGAUGAAACUCAAAGGAAUUGACGGGGGCCCGCACAAGCGGUGGAGCAUGUGGUUUAAUUCGAUGAUACGCGAGGAACCUUACCUGGGCUAGAAUGCCUCUGACCGUCCGUGAAAGCGGAUUUUCCUUCGGGACAGAGUGCAAGGUGCUGCAUGGUUGUCGUCAGCUCGUGCCG